RNAcentral lists this ribosomal RNA (498 nucleotides) under uncultured bacterium. Its description in RNAcentral is "partial 16S ribosomal RNA". It matches the Rfam family "Bacterial small subunit ribosomal RNA", at positions 30 to 523 of the family's 1533-position model. The record is from RNAcentral.
AUUGAACGCUGGCGGCAUGCCUUACACAUGCAAGUCGAACGGUAACAGGUCUUCGGAUGCUGACGAGUGGCGAACGGGUGAGUAAUACAUCGGAACGUGCCCGAUCGUGGGGGAUAACGAAGCGAAAGCUUUGCUAAUACCGCAUACGAUCUACGGAUGAAAGCAGGGGACCGCAAGGCCUUGCGCGAACGGAGCGGCCGAUGGCAGAUUAGGUAGUUGGUGGGAUAAAAGCUUACCAAGCCGACGAUCUGUAGCUGGUCUGAGAGGACGACCAGCCACACUGGGACGGAGACACGGCCCAGAAUCCUACGGGAGGCAGCAGUGGGGAAUUUUGGAAAAUGGGCGAAAGCCUGAUCCAGCCAUGCCGCGUGCAGGAUGAAGGCCUUCGGGUUGUAAACUGCUUUUGUACGGAACGAAAAGACUCUGGUUAAUACCUGGGGUCCAUGACGGUACCGUAAGAAUAAGCACCGGCUAACUACGUGCCAGCAGCCGCCGUAA